GCGUCAGUGAGGGCGACGAAAGGAAGCGGCGCCUGGGGCGGCCGGCUGCGGCGGAGGCACCGGCCGGACGCUCCGGAGCGGCCCUGCCGCAUCCCCGUCCCCCCCGGCGCCCACGUUACCACGGGCUCGGCGUUCUCGUCCUCCCGCAGGCGCAGGCGGUGCAGCACGGGGCUGGAGACGCGGGCCAGCCCGUUGGAGAGCCGCUGCCCGAUGGCCCCCGGGUCGAUGUCCUCCACGCUGCUGGCGUUGACGAUCACGUCCACGCCCUGGCGGGGAUUGGGGGGGCGCCGGCCGUCAGCGAGAGACCCGCGGCCGAAAUGCCGGCGCCCCCGGACAGGGCGCUCGGGGCGGCAGAGGGGACGGUGACCCCCGUGUCCCCGGCCCUGCUCGCACCCACCUGGAAAAACUCGGCAAUCUUGGCCACGUGGCUGGCGCAGGCGCACUUGCGGGCGUCGGGCACGUCCUCGCCCACCUGCGGCGGCAGCAAGGGGGAGGCUGAGCGGCGGCGGGGGCCGAGGAGCAGCCCCCCGCGGGCGCCCGCGCCUCCGUGUCGCUACUCACCCAGUUGACGAGGACGUAUUUGGGGAGCACGGCCUGGGGGUCCUUGACGCUGCAGAAGCCGUACAUCACCUUCUGGAUCUCAAAGUGGCCCGAGAGCUCCAGCAAGCCGCCGCCUGGCGCAGCAAAGAGCGCGGUCAGCCCGCGGCCGCCCCGCGUGGCCCCGGGGCCAGGCACAGAGCCCAGCCAGGCGUGGGGACGCGGGGUCUUACCUCCCGACGCCGCCAGCUUCAGGUCAUCGGAGUCAUCCUCGUACGUGUAGAGGGCCCUGGGGGGACAGGCGGGGUGAGCGCCCGUGCGGCGGCCUCCCCGGCUCCCCUUCCCGGCGCGGGUCACACCGCCGUCGGGGCGGCCCAGGCAGGGCUGAGCCCGGGGGACCGGCUGGCGACCCCCUGGGGGACCCCGAGCUGCCCCCCGUGGCCAUCAGCACCCGCCAGCAUGGGGUGCGCGGGGCGCAGGGGAGCCGGUGCUGGGAUCUGCCCGCGGCACUCAGGACAAGGCUUCUUCCCCUGCCUGCAGCUCACGCCGUGGGGCGGCGACCCCAGGACAGGGGAGGAGGAGGAGGAGGAUUUGGGCGCAGUGAACAGCCGAGCCCCCUGCGGAGGCCACAGCGGUGCCACCGGGGCCCUGCCGGCUCCGGCUGCGUGUCGCUCCUGGCCAGCUCCGGGGCCAGCCGGGCGCCCCGGCGGGGCCGCUCACGUGCCGGGCUGCAUGAGCCACCAGCCCACCGGGCACCAGGCCGGGGGAGGACGCCGGAGCACCGGCGGCAGCAGCAAAUCCGUGUGCCGCCGGGGUGCGACGGGGCNNNNNNNNNNNNNNNNNNNNNNNNNNNNNNNN
This 1395-nucleotide long non-coding RNA is filed under the name Apteryx haastii (Great spotted kiwi). RNAcentral describes it as "lncRNA (ENSAHAG00000010691.1)". Lineage: Eukaryota; Metazoa; Chordata; Aves; Apterygiformes; Apterygidae. The record is from RNAcentral.